AGACUGUGGCGGCUUUCCAGCUCCAAUUUCAGCUUCUCCAGCCUGGAGAUGAGCUCGGCGGCGAAGGCAGCAGGUUCCACAGGCGUCAUCUCCUUGGGCAGGCGAAAAUGAAGAAAGCUGCUGCGGGCUAGUAGCAGAACACUGCUGAGCUCGGCUGCCUGAAGCCGAUCUAUCAAGGGGAAAACGGAACAUCUCCAAACCAAAAUUUUCCAUUCUUUGAUUCAGGAACUAUCAAACGUCACUCUGUUACUACCACAUCCAAAAGAACCAUUUAGUGUCCUCAGUCUGGCCAUUCCUUUCUGUUCCUUUCUGCAUUGCCCCCCACCUCUCAGCUCCUGUAAUAAUUUAGGGCCUCACUACCCGUUGUCCUGGUAUCCUGCCGUCUAUACUCACCGGAAAAUGAGGUAGAGACACUUGGCCAUUGGCCUUCACACUGCGGUGCAUCUCUCUCUGGAGCUGUUUCUUACUGCCCAUGCGGUAAGGAGGGAUUCCAUCUCU
Molecule: long non-coding RNA, 498 nt
Filed under: Mus pahari (shrew mouse)
Lineage: Eukaryota; Metazoa; Chordata; Mammalia; Rodentia; Muridae
Description: predicted gene 11670 (MGP_PahariEiJ_G0002648.1)
Source: RNAcentral